Molecule: ribosomal RNA, 440 nt
Filed under: uncultured bacterium
Lineage: Bacteria
Description: partial 16S ribosomal RNA
Rfam family: Bacterial small subunit ribosomal RNA
Source: RNAcentral
CCUACGGGAGGCAGCAGUGGGGAAUAUUGCACAAUGGGGGAAACCCUGAUGCAGCGACGCCGCGUGAGUGAAGAAGUAUUUCGGUAUGUAAAGCUCUAUCAGCAGGGAAGAAAAUGACGGUACCUGAUUAAGAAGCACCGGCUAACUACGUGCCAGCAGCCGCGCUAAUACGUAGGGGGCAAGCGUUAGCCGGAUUUACUGGGUGUAAAGGGAGCGUAGACGGCAGCGCAAGUCUGAAGUGAAAUGCCGGGGCUUAACCCCGGAACUACUUUGGAAACUGUGAAGCUAGAGUGCGGGAGAGGUAAGUGGAAUUCCGAGUGGAGCGGUGAAAUGCGUAGAUAUUAGGAGGAACACCAGUGGCGAAGGCGGCUUACUGGACUGUAACGGACGUUGAGGCUCGAAAGCGUGGGGAGCAAACAGGAUUAGAUACCCCGGUAGUC